GAGUGAAAUGAUGCCUUACCAUCUUUCGGGACUUACCCAACACAUGGGGAUAAUUUUAUUUCCUUACUGAUCACUC
This is a small nucleolar RNA of Girardinichthys multiradiatus, 76 nucleotides long. RefSeq annotates it as small nucleolar RNA SNORD2. The record is from RefSeq and is a predicted model, not a curated record. The transcript has a single exon. Lineage: Eukaryota; Metazoa; Chordata; Actinopteri; Cyprinodontiformes; Goodeidae.